This 730-nucleotide ribosomal RNA is filed under the name uncultured bacterium. Its description in RNAcentral is "bacterial SSU rRNA". It matches the Rfam family "Bacterial small subunit ribosomal RNA", at positions 771 to 1501 of the family's 1533-position model. The record is from RNAcentral.
AACAGGAUUAGAUACCCUGGUAGUCCACGCUGUAAACGAUGUCGACUUGGAGGUUGUUCCCUUGAGGAGUGGCUUCCGGAGCUAACGCGUUAAGUCGACCGCCUGGGGAGUACGGCCGCAAGGUUAAAACUCAAAUGAAUUGACGGGGGCCCGCACAAGCGGUGGAGCAUGUGGUUUAAUUCGAUGCAACGCGAAGAACCUUACCUACUCUUGACAUCCAGAGAACUUAGCAGAGAUGCUUUGGUGCCUUCGGGAACUCUGAGACAGGUGCUGCAUGGCUGUCGUCAGCUCGUGUUGUGAAAUGUUGGGUUAAGUCCCGCAACGAGCGCAACCCUUAUCCUUUGUUGCCAGCGGUCCGGCCGGGAACUCAAGGGAGACUGCCAGUGAUAAACUGGAGGAAGGUGGGGAUGACGUCAAGUCAUCAUGGCCCUUACGAGUAGGGCUACACACGUGCUACAAUGGCAUAUACAAAGAGAAGCGACCUCGCGAGAGCAAGCGGACCUCAUAAAGUAUGUCGUAGUCCGGAUUGGAGUCUGCAACUCGACUCCAUGAAGUCGGAAUCGCUAGUAAUCGUGGAUCAGAAUGCCACGGUGAAUACGUUCCCGGGCCUUGUACACACCGCCCGUCACACCAUGGGAGUGGGUUGCAAAAGAAGUAGGUAGCUUAACCUUCGGGAGGGCGCUUACCACUUUGUGAUUCAUGACUGGGGUGAAGUCGUAACAAGGUAACC